This 488-nucleotide ribosomal RNA is filed under the name uncultured bacterium. RNAcentral describes it as "bacterial SSU rRNA". It matches the Rfam family "Bacterial small subunit ribosomal RNA", at positions 1 to 507 of the family's 1533-position model. The record is from RNAcentral.
AGUAGUUUGAUCAUGGCUACAGAAUGAACGUUGGCGGCGUGGAUUAGGCAUGCGAGUCGUGCGAGAACCGUAGCAAUACGGGGACAGCGGCGAAAGGGAGAGGAACACGUGGAUACCUACCCUCAGGUUCAGGAUAGCUAUGGGAAACUAUAGGUAAUACUGAAUAAUAUCUCCGGAUCAAAGGUGUGAUUCCGCCGGAGGAGGGGUCCGCGUCCUAUUAGCUAGUUGGUGAGGUAAUGGCUCACCAAGGCGAAGAUGGGUACGGGAUGUGAGAGCAUGAUCCCGCUCAUUGGGACUGAGACACUGCCCAGACACCUACGGGUGGCUGCAGUCGAGAAUCUUCGGCAAUGGGGGAAACCCUGACCGAGCGACGCCGCGUGUGAGAUGAAGGCCUUCGGGUUGUAAAUCACUGUCGUAGAGGAGGAAGUGUAGGUGGGUUCUCCCACUUAUUUGACCUAUUCUAGGAGGAAGGACGGGCUAAGUUCGUG